UGGGAAGUUGCCAAGUGGUAAGGCACCAGACUUUGACUCUGGUAUUCGUAGGUUCAAUCCCUGCCUUCCCAG
Molecule: transfer RNA, 72 nt
Filed under: Desulfuribacillus stibiiarsenatis
Lineage: Bacteria; Bacillati; Bacillota; Desulfuribacillia; Desulfuribacillales; Desulfuribacillaceae
Rfam family: tRNA
About the family: Transfer RNA (tRNA) molecules are approximately 80 nucleotides in length. Their secondary structure includes four short double-helical elements and three loops (D, anti-codon, and T loops). Further hydrogen bonds mediate the characteristic L-shaped molecular structure. tRNAs have two regions of fundamental functional importance: the anti-codon, which is responsible for specific mRNA codon recognition, and the 3' end, to which the tRNAs corresponding amino acid is attached (by aminoacyl-tRNA synthetases). tRNAs cope with the degeneracy of the genetic code in two manners: having more than one tRNA (with a specific anti-codon) for a particular amino acid; and 'wobble' base-pairing, i.e. permitting non-standard base-pairing at the 3rd anti-codon position.
Source: Rfam by way of RNAcentral